Molecule: ribosomal RNA, 1497 nt
Filed under: human gut metagenome
Description: bacterial LSU rRNA
Rfam family: Bacterial large subunit ribosomal RNA
Source: RNAcentral
UUCGGAGACCGAUAGUGCACCAGUACCGUGAGGGAAAGGUCAAAAGAACCCCGCGCAGGGGAGUGAAACAGAUCCUGAAACCGUACGCCUACAAGCGGUCGGAGCAUCUUCAUGGUGUGACGGCGUGCCUUUUGCAUAAUGAACCUACGAGUUGCCGUCGCCGGCGAGGUUAAGCGCAAUUGAUGCGCGCAGCCGAAGCGAAAGCGAGUCUGAAGAGGGCGUACAGUCCGCGGCGGCAGACGCGAAACCGAGUGAUCUACCCGUGGUCAGGAUGAAGUCCGGGUAACUCCGGAUGGAGGUCCGAACCGAUAAGCGUUGAAAAGCUUCCGGAUGAACUGCGGGUAGGAGUGAAAGGCCAAUCAAACUCGGAGAUAGCUCGUACUCCCCGAAAAGCAUUUAGGUGCUGCCUGGGGCGUUCCCCGCAUGAGGUAGAGCGACCGGCUGGAUGCGAGGGCUUCACCGCCUAUCAAGUCCUGUCGAACUCCGAAUGCAUGCGGGCCAAGCCCUGGAGAAAGGGGACGGGUGCUAACGUCCGUUCCCGAGAGGAGAAGAAUCCAGACCACCGGCCAAGGCCCCGAAGUGGAGUCUAAGUUAGUCUAACGAAGUCGCUUUCCGGUGACAGCUAGGAUGUUGGCUUGGAAGCAGCCAUUCAUUCAAAGAGUGCGUAACAGCUCACUAGUCGAGGAAGGCGGCAUGGAUAAUAAUCGGGUAUCAAGAUUCCCGCCGAAGCCGUGGGAUCCUUUUAUGGAUCGGUAGGGGAGCAUUCCAGUCUGCGUCGAAGGCGGUGCGCGAGCCCCGCUGGAGCGUCUGGAAAAGCAAAUGUAGGUAUAAGUAACGAUAAGGGGGGUGGGAUUCCCCCCCGCCGCAAGACCAAGGGUUCCCGGGCAACAUCAAUCGUCCCGGGGUAAGCCGGUCCCUAAGGCUAAGCCGAACGGCGAUGCCGAUGGAAAAACGGUCAACAUUCCGUUGCCGGUCAUGGGGGCGAUGCGGAGACGCGGAAGUGACACCGCCGCCGGCUGACGGAACAGCCGGUUGAAGGGUGUAGGUGCUGAGGGGCGCAGGCAAAUCCACGCCCCGAGCCGAACCUGACAGUAUGCCUUUCCCUUCGGGGCGAGGCAAGAGCGCGGGUAACCCCGCCGCCGAGAAAAUCCGCUAAGCUUAACCCCAUGUCCGUCCGUACCCUAAACGGACACACGUGGUCGGGUAGAACAUACUGAGGCGCUCGGGUGAUUCGCGGUUAAGGAACUAGGCAAAUUGACCCCGUAACUUCGGGAAAAGGGGUCCUCCGCUCCGGCGGAGGCGCAGAGAAUAGGUCCAGGCAACUGUUUACCAAAAACACAGGACUGUGCCAAGCAUAGAGGCGACGUAUACAGUCUGACACCUGCCCGGUGCCGGAAGGUUAAGAGGAGACGUCAUCUUCGGAGAAGCGUUGAAUUGAAGCCCCGGUAAACGGCGGCCGUAACUAUAACGGUCCUAAGGUAGCGAAAUUCCUUGUCG